Molecule: ribosomal RNA, 189 nt
Filed under: Triticum aestivum (bread wheat)
Lineage: Eukaryota; Viridiplantae; Streptophyta; Magnoliopsida; Poales; Poaceae
Description: partial small subunit ribosomal RNA
Source: RNAcentral
AUGAAGAACUAUUUCGUGGAGAAUCCCACAUACCCGGAGUCAUAUUUUCGUUGCCGGUUUAGGAUGAGCACCGACUUGUUCAGGCGCAUUGCAGAGAAACUAGCGAGCCAUGACCGGUUUUUCCAGCAAAGGAGGAAUGUCGCCGGAGAGCUCGGGGAUAGCACCUUUCUGAAGGUGACAACUGCUUUG